GCCGGGCGCGGUGGCGCGUGCCUGCGGUACCAGCUACUCGGGAAGCUGAGGCUAGAGGAUCGCUUGGGCCCAGGAGUUCUGGGCAGUAGUGCGUCAUGCGGUGUUCACAGUAAGUUCAGCAUCGAUAUGGUGACCUCCCGGGAGUGGGGAACCACCACCAAGUUGCCUAAGGAGGGGUGAACCGGCCCAGGUCGGAAACGGAGCAGGUCAAAACUCCCGUGCUAAUCAGCAGUGGGAUCGCACCUGUGAAUAGCCACUGCACUCCAGCCUGGGCAAGAUAGUGAGACUCUGUCUCU
This 296-nucleotide signal recognition particle RNA is filed under the name Saimiri boliviensis boliviensis (Bolivian squirrel monkey). Its description in RNAcentral is "Metazoan signal recognition particle RNA (ENSSBOG00000009819.1)". It matches the Rfam family "Metazoan signal recognition particle RNA". From Rfam's summary of the family: The signal recognition particle (SRP) is a universally conserved ribonucleoprotein. It is involved in the co-translational targeting of proteins to membranes. The eukaryotic SRP consists of a 300-nucleotide 7S RNA and six proteins: SRPs 72, 68, 54, 19, 14, and 9. The record is from RNAcentral. Lineage: Eukaryota; Metazoa; Chordata; Mammalia; Primates; Cebidae.